GGAGAGGUUCCCGAGCGGCCAAAGGGGACGGGCUGUAAACCCGUUGGUGUACGCCUACGAAGGUUCGAAUCCUUCCCUCUCCA
This 83-nucleotide transfer RNA is filed under the name Deltaproteobacteria bacterium RIFOXYA12_FULL_61_11. Its description in RNAcentral is "tRNA-Tyr". It matches the Rfam family "tRNA". From Rfam's summary of the family: Transfer RNA (tRNA) molecules are approximately 80 nucleotides in length. Their secondary structure includes four short double-helical elements and three loops (D, anti-codon, and T loops). The record is from RNAcentral. Lineage: Bacteria; Deltaproteobacteria.